This 714-nucleotide long non-coding RNA is filed under the name Salvia miltiorrhiza (redroot sage). RNAcentral describes it as "long non-coding RNA (SMIL_LNC000542)". The record is from RNAcentral. Lineage: Eukaryota; Viridiplantae; Streptophyta; Magnoliopsida; Lamiales; Lamiaceae.
UUCCCCAUUUUUACUCCAUUAAUUAAUAGGUUUACCCACCCCCACCAACAAUUUUCAAUCAUUCACCAAAUCCUACCCCAAAAAUUUUUCAUCGGCGGCUGAUCAACACCAGGUAAUUUUUUUUUUUAUUUUUUUUGUACGUAAAUCAUCUGUUUUUCACGAUUUUUUUCUUCCCAUUCUAAGAAUCCGAACAAAUACACCUCUUCGACUUGAAAUUUAAGAUAUUUCGAGAUUAGAAUAGAUUUCAUUUUAUGUUUUAUGUUUCAGAAAUCGGAGCUCAUAUUUCCGAACAAAUACACUGUAUUUUUCUGAAAUUGUUGUGUAGUUAUUUCAUUUUAUGUUUUUGUUUUUUCUAUGACUGAAUAAUGAUUUUUUGUUUUAUAUGUUAUUUGGCUGUAAAAUUAAAUUAUUCAGAUAUAAUAAUAGCUUAUUCACAAUAAAUGUAUUUUUAUUCAGAAUGUUAAAUUUGACUUGAAUCUCCCACUACAAUCAUGAAGGUGAUUAAGGAAUCCUGGGAGAAGCAGACAACACUAAGAUCACCAAGCAAGAAUUGGAUUUCCUCUUGGAUGAAGAGCAGUAUUAAGAUGAAGUGUUGGAUUUGUAUGUCAUUUAUGUUUGUUCAGAAAAGUUGUAUUGUUAUUCGACAUUUUAUAGUGACAUAUUCGUUUUAAUAUGAAUAGUGGAUUGCUUUAAAUUAUUGUAGAUUUAUAUAAC